AUUGAACGCUGGCGGCAUGCCUUACACAUGCAAGUCGAACGGCAGCACGGGUGCUUGCACCUGGUGGCGAGAGGCGAACGGGUGAGUAAAGUAUCGGAACGUGCCUGGUAGUGGGGGAUAACUAGUCGAAAGACUAGCCAAUACGGCAUACGAACUAAGGAUGAAAGCAGUGGACCAUCGGGACUUGUUCUAUCCGCGCGGCCGAUAUAUGAUUAGCUAGUUGGGGGGGGAAAAGCCCACCAAGGCGACGAUCAGUAGCUGGUCUGAGAGGACGACCAGCCACACUGGAACUGAGACACGGUCCAGACUCCUACGGGAGGCAGCAGUGGGGAAUUUUGGACAAUGGGGGCAACCCUGAUUCAGCAAUGCCGCGUGAGUGAAGAAGGCCCUCGGGUUGUAAAGCUCUUUUGUCAGGGAAGAAAAGGCUGUGGCUACUAUCCACAGCUGCUGACGGUACCUGAAGAAUAAGCACCGGCUAACUACGUGCCAGCAGCCGCAGUAA
Molecule: ribosomal RNA, 502 nt
Filed under: uncultured bacterium
Lineage: Bacteria
Description: partial 16S ribosomal RNA
Rfam family: Bacterial small subunit ribosomal RNA
Source: RNAcentral